Helicoverpa zea (corn earworm) is the source of this 556-nucleotide long non-coding RNA. RefSeq lists it as uncharacterized. Lineage: Eukaryota; Metazoa; Arthropoda; Insecta; Lepidoptera; Noctuidae. The transcript has 2 exons. The record is from RefSeq and is a predicted model, not a curated record.
UGACUUCAUCGCUGUCAUCCCCGCAGUCAUCGUCGCCGUCGCACACCCAUCGUAGCUGGAUGCACUUGCCGUUGCCACAUGUGAACUCGUCCGAGCGACACGUCUCAUCUGAUGUAUUAGAUCCGUCGGAGCAGUCAGCGUUGUCGUCGCACAUCCACGUGAGCGGGACGCACUCGCCGUCUCGUCCUCUGCAGGUGAACUCUUCGGGCCCGCACGACUUCACCUCUGUCAACCCAUUCAUGCACAUGCUAAGUACGAUGCGAAUAUACACCGACACGAUACUCUUACACAAAUCCCUUCAGGGAUUUGAAAUCCAUUUUGGUCUUAUCCUACUUUACCCUUAAGCCUUUUAGAUUUUUUUCCUGUGAAAUAUCUACCGAGAUGUUUUCUAAGUAGAACACCAAUUACUUCGAUGUCCUUGUAAAAUAAUUAUUUUGUUUUACUUUAAUUUUCCCUAAAGUCAAACCGUAAUUGUUUGUUUUCUUUACAUUUUAUCUAAGUUGAGUAAUCAAUUCGUAAAGGAAUAAAUUCAGUAGUAAAAUGCUAAAGUUAUAAA